UCUACUAUGCCAAAGAGUGUUCAUUUUAUUCAAAUAUGGAGUAUUUACAAAUGGAGUAGAAGAAACAGAACACUUAACAUCAUUCUUAUCACAAGCAGGGAAAAUAGAGAUAUUAGAACAAGUAAAAAAGAGGGUUGGAUGGUAGUAGGAGUUGUCGAGGGAGGCAGGUGCAAGGUGUAAAGACCAUGUUGUGUUUUACCAAAUACCGGAGGCCUCCUCAUGGAAAAGUCUUGUAUAAAACAGGCAAAGGAACUGAAGAUAAGCAAACACUUCAAUUGGGAGACCAUCUUGUGUAAAGAUAUCAAGUUGUACUGACAACUAGGAACCAAGAGCACAUGUGACAGAAUAGUACCAUUGGUUAAAGGUAAAUCUCCAACACAUGUUACUUUGACUUUAUAACCAUUAGGUAGGAUGACCAAGUAAGGAAUGGGUAAUGGUUUAAUAUUUUAAAGAAGAUUACUAUGUGAGGUCAUGUGAUCAGUGGCCCCAGAGUCUAAAAUCCAAGAGUGUUUAUCAACUUUACAAAGCAAGAAAGUACUAAAUGAACACUCAGGCUUAUUGCUAGAAAAGAAACUAAGGAUACCUACAAAGUUCACAGAAUCAGCAGGAUUAGAGACUGAGGUAGAAGACUGAUCAGACACAUAAUAUUGUUGUAACAAAGAAAGCAGUUGGCUGCAUUGCUCAAGUGUCAACCCCGGAAUAGCUAGAACGUGGAAAUUGGUGUCUUAGUGAAAGGCCUAGUCCCAAGCUGAGCAAAUUGCUUAGAAACAUCUAGCUCAGUAUGGACAAUGGCAGCAACCCUUUUAUUACUGUUGGUGAACUUGAAGUUUGGGGGAAAUCCAUGUUUCUUAUUACAUUUCUCCAUUGUAUGCCAGGUUUGUUGCAGUAGCUAUAUACCACAUUAGGCCUCCUGGGAUCAAAGGUGGUCUUAGGAUGAAAAGUAGAUCUUGAGACCCCCACCGAGAAUGAAGCAAAUUCUAAGCUGAAGUAGGAAAGAGGAUGUUGAAUUUCUCGUUGUCGCUCAUUAUUCACCAGAAGAGAGUAGGCCUUGUUAAUAGUAGAGAAGGGACCCGUCGUAAGCAGAUUAGUCCUAGCAUUGGAAUAACUAUUAUUCAAACCCAUCAGAAAUUGGUAGAACCUUUGAUUCUCCUCACGUUUUUGAAUAUCCAGUCUACUACCCCCACAAGUCCAGUGAGAAUCCGUAUGAACAGUCAAUGUGCUGAGUUCGUCCCAAACACUUUUCAUCCUUACAUAAUACUCAGGAAACCUCAUUGAGCCCUGAGAGAUUGAGGCACGUUCCUUUUUUACCCGAUAAACCCUAAUUCCACUUAGCUGACCAUACCUCUCUUCCAAUUCCAUCUAGACAUCUUUGGCAAGUUGACAAUAGAGGACACUCUUACGAAUUACCGGAGAAAGAAGGUUGUGGAUCCACGAGAUCACUAUGUUAUUACACAUAUCCCACUGACGAGAGAAAGGUGAAUUUGGAGGUGGCCUCUCACAGUCACAUUGAAUGAAAUAUAACUUAUUCUUAACCGAGAGAGCAAUAAGCAUAUUCCUACACCAAUCGCGAUACUUAUUCCCAUCGAAUAUGACGCCCACUAGUGAAAGCCCCAAAUUCUUUGAUGGAUUAAUGUAAAGGGGAUAGUUAUGAUCAAUUGUGUCAUCGAGUGAAUUAUCACAACCAGAGUGCUCAGACGAAGUACAAAGAGACUUAUCAGAAACUAGAAAGCCAUAACGGAAGAGGUGAAUCCAGUAUUGUUGCAAAUUAAGGGUUUCGUUACUGUAUAAUUCUCUGAUCAUAAACAAACAAAUUUAUGGGAAAUGAAUGCAAGAAAGCAGAAUUCAAUGCAAAUCGAAAGGAAAAUGAGAGAAAUCACUGGCGAGAAACCGAAGUCCGACGAAACGGCGAACAGAAAAAUGUGAUUCAUUCGCCAACAACAAAGAACAACGAGAUGCCCAUGAAAUUGAAGAACACUGCUCAAAUCACCCGGAUACACCGAUGUGAUACCAUGUUAAACUCAUCGUAAUCCCAAUAUUCUGAAGAGAGAAAUCGAAAUCUCAAGGAGGAAGGAAGAACAAAGGUGAAAUAUUUUCGUGUAAAAUAUGAAAACUGAGCAUCCGAACCUUCCAGAGUCGGAUCUCCUCUAUUAUAUACAAAGUCAGUUUUGGAUCGGGUAUUUACUACUCAAACCCGUACAAAAGAAAAUGACUACACUACUCUGUUACAACUUUGGGAUAAGUUGUACAACUGAGUAAUAAAUACAAUUGGGCCCUAACUAGAUAUCUGCUAACAUAACAAAUGGGCCUUUAUCAGCCAACAUUCCACCCACUGCCAUAAUAAAUUACUAUAAGUAUUCAAAAAUCAACUUCUUUUUCACUUGUUCAACACCAUUAAAAUAAUCUUCCUGUUAACCGACACCAUCACUUGUUCAACACCAUUAAAAUAAUUUUCCUGUUAACCGACACCAUUCCUCAGCUUCCACAGGGUGCUAACACUAGCGAUCAUGGGCAUAAUAGGAGAUAUUGUGAGGCAUCCAAAUGAGAUAUGCCCAUUGAUGAAGCUGUUGCUAAUAGCAAAAUUAGCAGAGAAACAAAUUCUUUCAAAGCCACACUGGAGCUUUUGCUAUCUCAUGCUCCGCAACAUCUCUCGCAGCUUCUCUCUUGUCAUUCAACAGCUUCCCCUUGAGCUUCGAGACGCUGGAAUUGAACGUGUAUCAAUGGUGUCUGGUGACUUAACUCCUUUCUCUGCCAUGUAUAAUGCAAGUGGCCUACAUGUUCUCCUCAUGUCUAAUACGUAACUGUAUGUCCUUUGUCUAAAGUGAUGGGCUGCUAGCUUAUACCUAAACUAUAGUAUUUUAUUUUUAUAUACUUAAUGGGCGUUUGGACA
Non-coding RNA from Nicotiana tabacum (common tobacco), 2887 nucleotides. NCBI's taxonomy places the organism in Eukaryota, Viridiplantae, Streptophyta, Magnoliopsida, Solanales, Solanaceae. The record is from RefSeq and is a predicted model, not a curated record.